UCGAAGUAGUCUUACAUAACCAAACCAGUCGCUCGACCGCGCGACCCGUGAGUUAUGUCGCUGCCAAGUGCAAGGGCAAGGUAGUCGCCAUUUCACGGCCGAACAUUAUGUUGAAAUUAUAAUCGAACGAGGAGUAACGAACUAAAGAAAAUUGAUCUGGUGAAGCGUAAAAAAUUGGCAAUUUGGAUAUCAUCGAGUGAUUACUCGCGUCCGUGGGAACAUCGAUUGGAUCGUUCGCGGUCGGAUAACUAUCGAAGUUUGGAACGCAAAAAAGGGAUCGAGAAUCGAGAUAAUGGCGAACGGAGCAGUUCCCCUCUCCCACCUCCUGCAGGAAUGCUCCAGACUAUUUUUAGUGAUCAAACCCGAGGCCGACUCGCCUCGCGAACGCUUAGUUAAUUGUCCUCCAGACUAACGCUUUGUCCCAACUCCAUGUAAUUUAAAAACCAGCUCUAAAUUCUUGCACUGCACUUAUCUACAGUUUCCAGACCGAAUAAAAAGUAAAGAUGUUCUACGAACAACAGA
Long non-coding RNA from Aricia agestis (brown argus), 522 nucleotides. RefSeq lists it as uncharacterized. The transcript has 2 exons. Lineage: Eukaryota; Metazoa; Arthropoda; Insecta; Lepidoptera; Lycaenidae. The record is from RefSeq and is a predicted model, not a curated record.